GAUGAACGCUGGCGGCGUGCCUAAUACAUGCAAGUCGAGCGAACGGACGAGAAGCUCGCUUCUCUGAUGUUAGCGGCGGACGGGUGAGUAACACGUGGAUAACCUACCUAUAAGACUGGGAUAACUUCGGGAAACCGGAGCUAAUACCGGCUAAUACUUUGAACCGCAUGGUUCAAAAGUGAAUGACGGCUUUGCCGUCACUUAUAGAUGGAUCCGCGCUGCAUUAGCUAGUUGGUAAGGUAACGGCUUACCAAGGCAACGAUGCAUAGCCGACCUGAGAGGGUGAUCGGCCACACUGGAACUGAGACACGGUCCAGACUCCUACGGGAGGCAGCAGUAGGGAAUCUUCCGCAAUGGGCGAAAGCCUGACGGAGCAACGCCGCGUGAGUGAUGAAGGUCUUCGGAUCGUAAAACUCUGUUAUUAGGGAAGAACAGAUGUGUAAGUAACUGUGCACAUCUUGACGGUACCUAAUCAGAAAGCCACGGCUAACUACGUG
RNAcentral lists this ribosomal RNA (497 nucleotides) under uncultured bacterium. RNAcentral's name for it is "partial 16S ribosomal RNA". It matches the Rfam family "Bacterial small subunit ribosomal RNA", at positions 28 to 507 of the family's 1533-position model. The record is from RNAcentral.